RNAcentral lists this ribosomal RNA (136 nucleotides) under Synergistaceae bacterium. RNAcentral describes it as "partial 16S ribosomal RNA". It matches the Rfam family "Bacterial small subunit ribosomal RNA", at positions 1 to 107 of the family's 1533-position model. Lineage: Bacteria; Thermotogati; Synergistota; Synergistia; Synergistales; Synergistaceae. The record is from RNAcentral.
GCCAAGGAGAGUUUGAUCCUGGCUCAGGAUGAACGCUGGCGGCGUGCUUAACACAUGCUAGUCGGUCGGGAUAUUGAGGAUUGCUAGAGGCAGCUUGCUGUUUUUGGAGAGAAUCAAUAUUUAGUGGCGGACGGGU